UGCGAUCAUACCAGCACUAAUGCACCGGAUCCCAUCGAAACUCCAUGAUUAAGCGUGCUUGGGCAGAGUAGUACUAGGAUGGGUGACCCCUGAGAAGUCCUCGUGUUGCA
Molecule: ribosomal RNA, 110 nt
Filed under: Rhododendron molle
Lineage: Eukaryota; Viridiplantae; Streptophyta; Magnoliopsida; Ericales; Ericaceae
Source: RNAcentral